RNAcentral lists this ribosomal RNA (771 nucleotides) under uncultured bacterium. RNAcentral's name for it is "bacterial SSU rRNA". It matches the Rfam family "Bacterial small subunit ribosomal RNA", at positions 8 to 776 of the family's 1533-position model. The record is from RNAcentral.
AGAGUUUGAUCCUGGCUCAGAUUGAACGCUGGCGGCAUGCCUUACACAUGCAAGUCGAACGGUAACGCGGGGCAACCUGGCGACGAGUGGCGAACGGGUGAGUAAUACAUCGGAACGUGCCCAGUAGUGGGGGAUAGCCCGGCGAAAGCCGGAUUAAUACCGCAUACGACCUACGGGUGAAAGCGGGGGAUCGCAAGACCUCGCGCUAUUGGAGCGGCCGAUGUCAGAUUAGCUAGUUGGUGGGGUAAAAGCCUACCAAGGCGACGAUCUGUAGCUGGUCUGAGAGGACGACCAGCCACACUGGGACUGAGACACGGCCCAGACUCCUACGGGAGGCAGCAGUGGGGAAUUUUGGACAAUGGGGGCAACCCUGAUCCAGCCAUGCCGCGUGCGGGAAGAAGGCCUUCGGGUUGUAAACCGCUUUUGUCAGGGAAGAAACGGUCUGCGCUAAUACCGCGGACUAAUGACGGUACCUGAAGAAUAAGCACCGGCUAACUACGUGCCAGCAGCCGCGGUAAUACGUAGGGUGCAAGCGUUAAUCGGAAUUACUGGGCGUAAAGCGUGCGCAGGCGGCUUUGCAAGACAGAUGUGAAAUCCCCGGGCUCAACCUGGGAACUGCAUUUGUGACUGCAUGGCUAGAGUGCGGCAGAGGGGGAUGGAAUUCCGCGUGUAGCAGUGAAAUGCGUAGAUAUGCGGAGGAACACCGAUGGCGAAGGCAAUCCCCUGGGCCUGCACUGACGCUCAUGCACGAAAGCGUGGGGAGCAAACAGG